UAGCAUGUAUCCGCCGCGAUAAACCACAAAAAGAACCUUACGUUACGGAAGGCGGUCCAGUGACAGUAACAAACAUAUUAUUAGCCCGCUUCUCAUUAUGACAGCAGUAGUAGAUGUUUUCAUGUCUGUGAAUUCAAAGAUGGCUCCAUCAUCAGGGUGAUGGCCCUGAUUAUAGAGGCAGCAAGGACAUCUGAAACGUUGAUGUUUUCCUACAUUGAAAAGGAUGAAACAUUCAUGGAGAUAAUUUCCUUUUCUGAUCAAGUCAAGUUUUAUAUAUGCAGAACAGUCAACAGACACAAGUAUUGUUUAUCAGAAAUUAAAAUGAUCACAAUUAUGAAACAUGUGGUGUGCCUUGAUGACAAAUGAAAUUUAUUGGCCCUUUUUGAAGAGCCUGUGGUGACUUGUGGAACCUUUCUUGCAGUGACGGGGAACACUGGUUUACCCCAUGCACUUGCUGGAACAGUAUUUCAAUUAAACAGUGUAACAACUCACUUCUCCAAUUAUGUUCAAGUCAUUUUGAGCAUGGAGUUUCUUUAUUGAAGGGUGGAAUGUGCUUGCUUGCCUCCUAAUUCUCCAGAUGUAAACCCCAUAUAUUUUUUUAUAGAUUUGUAAAAGACAAUGUUUAUCAAAAUGUGAAUGAUAUAUGUGCAAGAAUCAUCCAAGAGGCAGGGUGUGUUACCAAGAACAUGCUGGUUUAUACUUGCCGAGUAACUAAAUAUGCUUUCAUGAAUGUUAUUUUAUUAAUGGUGCACUAUUGAGGUUUUCCUCAACUGGUAAAAAACUUCAUGUGAUUUGAUUUUCAAAAUAUAAUACUAUUUCCAAUACACUUUGUGACUAAAAGUAUAUGAUGUUUAAUCUGUUGUCAAUCAGUACCAGGCACUGUAUAAUUAGAACUUUAGUAUACAAAGUAAUAAAGCUUCAAGAUAGCACUUUUAA
Zootermopsis nevadensis is the source of this 936-nucleotide non-coding RNA. The record is from RefSeq and is a predicted model, not a curated record. Lineage: Eukaryota; Metazoa; Arthropoda; Insecta; Blattodea; Termopsidae.